CUGAGACUUGUGCUGGGACCCAGCGCGGUCGGCCUUGGUCACUGCUCUGCGUGCCCUGGAGAAGCAUGCACCGCUGCUGGGGUGCAGUGUCUGGCACGUGCCAUGGUCCAGCUGGCCCCCGAUGUUCUGUGGGGGCAUUGCUCCCCAGCGUGUCCGGACAGGUUCUUGCUGAGCACCGGAACCCUGAACAUCCAGGGAAUGAGGCGUCAGACACAGUGGGGGAGCUCCAGCCAGCGAGCGCCUGCUCCCGCUCCGGGAAGCGCUCCUGGUCCAUGGCAUCACCGUCCUCAGGCGCAGUCAGGCCUGGGGAUGUUUCCUGCCACCGGAAGUGCCCUGAAGGUGUCCUGGUGGCCGCCGUGUGAAGGGAUGAUGUGACUGUGCACCACAGUCCCCAUUUCAGGAGCACGAUUCACCCCGGGACGCGGUCCUGAGACCGUCCCACUCUUUAGGGGCUGUGGGGGAUGGAGGAGGGGCUCAUGAGAGUCACCCAGACCCACAGUUCACCCUGCAUUUUCCCAGUGGUCCUGGGCAGGCCACACUCUCGGCCUCCAAGAACUCGCACCCCUCCCAUGACAGAGGAGCCUGGGAUCAGGGAGAGGGGAUCGUGUGCUCGGGGGCACCAGCCCCAUGAGAGGACCUGUGUGGGAGGUGUGUGGUCCUGGCACAGGGCCUGGAACUGCCAGGGCAAGGGAGGGGAAGGACACCCAGCACUACUCUGAUGUGCAAACCCUAGAGCUGCCUCGUGGCCACCCCGGGAGGAGAAGGAGGGAGUGUGCAGGGCUGGAAGGGCUGACAGCGCUUUAGACACCGUAACUCCACAUUUGUGUUUUUCAUGCUUGGAGCUUCUGUAGGAAGAUGGAGGUUGGCCAAAGUUUCAGUGACUAAAAGUGUGAAAUUCAUUUAAGUCCAUCAAACUCAAACUUGUGCAGGCACCAGGCAGUCACCCUUGAUGAAGGCAGCUGGCCAGGCAUAAGGGACACAAUCCGCAGAGCCAACGAGACCAGAAAUGAUGCUGGACCACAGAGCGCGUGGACAGUGAGGAGCGGUGAGGCCUGUGCAGAGGGCAGUAGCCAAGCCCAACACAGCUGAGUGCAGCCACGCACAGCCCAGCCACGCCACACCACGCCCAGUCACAUCCAGCCCAACACAGCUGAGUGCAGCCAUGCCCAGUCCAGCCACGCCACACCACACCCAGCCACACCCAGCCCAACAUAGCCAUGACCAACCACACCCAACCCAGCCCAGCCUAGCCACGCCCAGCCCAGCUCAGCCGUGUCCAGCCCAGCCACGCCCAACCCAACACAGCCACGCCCAGCCCUUGGAAGCCACACCCCACUCCCCACACCACACCUGAAUACAGGCCUAGUGUUACCAGAACUUCUAAUUUUCCAACAGAAAUGUGCAAUUGGGGUCAUUAUGUUCAGUUUCCCAGUUUUGAAUAUAGUUUCAACUAUCUUGACCAGCUCUACUGAGGAUUAUUUGACACAAUCAACUGCACAUGUAAAAGUGAUGAUUUGGAAAGCUUCGACCUAUGUGCACACCCACGAAACCCUUCCCAUGGUCCACGGUGAACCUCGUCACCCACAGCAUGUCCUCCUGCCUGUGUCCUCCCACCCCUGUCCCCAGGAACCACCGAUGUCACUACAGACAACUGCAUUUUGCAGAAUUCCAUAUGAACGAAGUCACAUGUAUACACGCCUUCUUUCACGCAGCAUAAUUAUUUUCACGUUUGAUUUUGUCAUGUGUUUCAAAAUUCCACUCCUUUUUAUUUCUGCGUUGUAUGGAUGCACCAUGAUUUGUUCAUCCAAUCACUUGUUGGUAGACAUUUUGGUUUUUCCCCCAGGUUUUUGCUAUCACAAAUAAAACUGCUAUGGACAGUCAUGCAUAAGUCCUUGUGUGAACGCGUUUUCAUCCCUCUGGGAAGAAUUCCUAGGAGUGGAACGGCUGAGUCUCUGGUAGGGGUGUGUCUAGCUUAAGAACCUGCAGGACAGUUUUACAGAGUGGCCGAACCAUCUUCCAUCCCCCCCAGCAGUGUACGGCAAACUUUCAACAGCACUGCACAGCCCUAAGACGCACAUGCCUGUGGGUGCUGCCCAGCCGUGGCUGCCAGCUUGUCUCUGGUCCAGAUCACUUCUUGUUCAACAGAUGGGGAGGCCUAGGGAGACCACAGGCCAUGCCAAAGGUCAUGCAGCAGCUGUCAGCUGAGCAAGGCUGGCAGUGGCCCAGGCUGGUCAUGCCCCCUCCAUGCUGGCAACUGUCUCCACCAAGGCACACUCUGGUGGAAGCUGGAGGCAGGGGACACUACUCUAAGUGGAGUCAUCUGAGAGAUGCACCGACCACACCUCUUCUGUGUUUCUAUCCCCGAGCUCCCAGGGGCCAGGACCACCUGCCCAGGGAGUGCUCAUUGUGCCAAGAAGAACAUGACCCAGCACAGGGUCACUGCAGGUCCCUAAGCAGAAGGGCUGGCCCGGGCAGGACCCCAAAGGCUCGGUAGCAAGGUGCUCCUCCCGAAAGCUGUGAUUCCCGGAGUGAUCCGGGCUCCGGGGUGGGACCUCCUGGUGCAGGGUCCUGAGCUUCGCCUAUGCCAGGCUUUGGAAGCAUCCUCUGAGGGCCCCUUCGGAAGGAGCAUUGGGAUGAAUUAAACAGCAAGGCAGGGCUCGCCUAGUGCAUGCUCUGCUGACAAAUGCGGUCAUUUUUCUCGAUUCUGGGAAAGAAGGGAUACGGACUUGUUUCGUCUUGCCAUGUCUAGAACUCCUCUCGGAGUCUCCAGUUAGUAGGGAGAAGGGAGUGCCGUGGUCUCUGGGUCCUGCUGGCACGUGGAACCCAGUUCUGCAGGGUCUCACACCUGUCCUCUUCUUGUCACCCUCUCUGUCUUUCUCAGCAACUUUUCAGAAGCUUCAGAAGAAGGACGCCGGAGAAUGCCCGCCCGGGACUCCGAGGUGCCCUGUGCUCAUGGAUUGGUCCUCCUGGCUCCAUGAGUGUGAGUGAGUGUCUGCAGGUCCCUGGCACAAAAGCUGCAGUGCUGAGCAGGUGGCUAAUGGCCCUGGCUGGGUGAUUUUGGACAAGUCACCUUUGCCUCUCUGGCCUCCAUUGUCCCUCUGUCAAACAGGCCCCACGACAGCAAGCGUUGGUUAUUGUGUCUAUGGUCAACAUCCCACCUGCCUUUCUGGGCAGAGACGUUUGGGAGCAGUGGCUGUAUCCCUGAGCACGUCGUAAGGGCACUUUCCUGCAUGCCCUGGCUGGAGGGACCUGUUGCUGGGAAAACUCCCCAGAGUGUGAACCGGCGGCGGCUCCACCAUCUGGGUGCCGUGGGCAUGGUGCAUGGCGGGAAGGAGGCCGGCACCACAGAAGGGUGGCAGCUGUCCCCGGAAGGCUCUCCCCUGAGGGCGCCCAGGGCUCCACCGCUAGCCAGCCAUCUCCUUGCAGUAAGGCACGUUUCCUCCAGAUCCUCUCGGAACUGCCGGGAGUGGCUGCCCCACCCGCCCAGCUCUCCCUGGGUCCUGCCAGGCAGGGAAGCGUGAACCGAGACGGGCUCGGGAUGGCUCUCAGGCCCUCCCUGCUCUCAGCACCAAGGGAGGCACCCAGAGACUGAUCUGUGGGGGCAACGGAGACUCCGGGUCCCCCCACCAGGAUACGUCCCCUUUCUUUGCAUCUGAUGCUGACACACACAUACGAGGAGCCCAGAGGCAGAAACGGGACUCAGAGCCUGACGCUGAGGCUGGUGUGUGGGGCUGCCUCUCCCAGUGCUGAGGCUGGCGUGUGGGGGCUUCCUCUCCCGACACUGAGGCUGGCGUGUGGGGCUGCUUCUCCCGACGCUGAGGCUGGCGUGUGGGGCUUCCUCUCCCGACGCUGAGGCUGGCGUGUGGGGCUUCCUCUCCCGACGCUGAGGCUGGUGUGUGGGGCGGCCUCUCCUGGUGCUGAGGCUGGCAUGUGGGGCGGUCUCUCCCGACCUUGAGGCUGGCAUGUGGGGCUUCCUCUCCCGACGCUGAGGCUGGCGUGUGGGGCUUCCUCUCCCAACCUUGAGGCUGGCAUGUGGGGCUUCCUCUCCCGACGCUGAGGCUGGCAUGUGGGGCGCCCUCUCCCGACCUUGAGGCUGGCAUGUGGGGCUUCCUCUCCUGACCUUGAGGCUGGCAUGUGGGGCUUCCUCUCCCGACGCUGAGGCUGGCGUGUGGGGCGGCCUCUCGGGAGCAGGCGGCCUCGGGGAUCCUGGGGGUCAGCAGCCCCUCCACAGCUGCACCUCCCGGGACUGACCCUGCAGAACCCACCUCCCGCCAGCCCCUCCACAGCAGGACAGCACCCGCCUCCUUUUCCAAGGCCGCCUCGCCCAGUGGAGGCUGCAGCUCUACUGGGUGUGAGUCAGGAGGAAACGCUCGCAGCCAACACAGGCAGGACACGCCCACGUGACAUCGGAUCCCACGGGGAGGAGUCCACUGGGCAAAUCUGAACAAUGUGGGGGAAGAUAUUGAUGAGAUGUUAAACAUAACCCAUAGAAGAAGAAUCUACAAGUCCGUACUGACGUAAAUAAAUAAACAGGCAUUGGGGAGAGACAGCUUUUCCUUACCAUAGAAUUCCAACUCAGCCGCAGAAUCCUGGUGGGAACCGUCAUCAAAGUCAACGGGAGCAGACACCACCAAACCCCAGAUCAAAGUCAGCAUCGCCAGCAACGGGCACACGGACACCAGGAAACUCCAUCAGCAUUGCUUUUGCUGUAUUCUUGACAAAAUUGUACAGUUUAAUUUUUUUUCUUUUUUCUUUCCUUUUUUUUUUUAGAGAUGGGGUCUCACUGUGUUGCCCAGGCUAGAGUACAGUGGUGUGAUCACAGCUCACUACAGCCUUCCGUGGCUGGGACUACAGGCACACACCACCACAUCUGGCUUGUUUUUUUGUUGUUGUUCUUGUUUUACUGUUUACUUUGUAGAGAUGGGGUGUAGCUAUAUUACCCAGUCUUGACUUCUGGCCUCAAGUGAUCCUCCCACCUUGGCCUCCCAAAGUGUUGGGAUUACAGAUGUGAGCCACUGUGCCCAGCUGUAUAAGUGGAAUUUAAUUAUGAGGAAAUCUACAGUGAAUCCAAAUUAAGGGAUAGUCCACAAAAUAACUGACAAUAUUCUUUAGAAGUGUCAAUGUCAUGAAAAAACAAAGACUGAGGAUUCGUCCCAGAUUGAGAGACUAAGGGGCCACGAGGACUAAACACAACAUGGGACCCUGGACUAGGAAAGGGUGAAACGGGGUUUCACCAUGUCGACCAGCCUGAUCUCAAACUCCCGACCUCAGCUGAUCCACCCACCUCGGUCUCCCAAAGUGCUGUGAUGAGUGCCCGUGAGCCACCGCGCCCAGCCUCAAAGCUAACUUUUGGGGACGUUGGAUGAAGAGUCCACAGGAACUUUUCUACUGUUUUUGCAACUUGUUAAAACCCUGUAAUUACUUCAAAAUGAAAAGUUAAAAAAUGAUCUUUUAAAAAAGAGUUAAUACUUGCAGUAUAUAAAGGACUCUUGAAAAUCAAUGAGAAGAUGAAUGUCCUGUGGAGAGCACAUGGGCCGCGAUGCUCCGGGAAAGAAUGGCACAGAGCACAAGAGAAACAGCUCACGGGCACCACUGAUUAGAGAAAUGCCAAGGCACUCAAUGACGGCCAAUGAUGGCGUUUGAAAACAUUAGACUGCAAACUAGUGUUUACACCGUAAGGGUGCUCUCGUGUUGCUGGGGAGAGGGGGACGAGCAUAGCUCGCCUGCAGAGCAGUUUGGCAACUUAUCAAAAGUCCAAGCUGUGACCUUUCUCUUUUUGACCCCUACGCUGGAUGUCUCCACCCCAAAGCCCCCUCCCAGUUUGUACCUGGAUACUGAACUGUAGGGACCCCCAGG
This 5856-nucleotide long non-coding RNA is filed under the name Homo sapiens (human). RNAcentral's name for it is "long non-coding RNA NONHSAT189955.1". Lineage: Eukaryota; Metazoa; Chordata; Mammalia; Primates; Hominidae. The record is from RNAcentral.